GGUGAACGCUGGCGGCGUGCUUAACACAUGCAAGUCGAACGAAGCACUUUAUUUGAUUUCCUUCGGGACUGAUUAUUUUGUGACUGAGUGGCGGACGGGUGAGUAACGCGUGGGUAACCUGCCUUGUACAGGGGGAUAACAGUUGGAAACGGCUGCUAAUACCGCAUAAGCGCACAGCAUCGCAUGAUGCAGUGUGAAAAACUCCGGUGGUAUAAGAUGGACCCGCGUUGGAUUAGCUAGUUGGUGAGGUAACGGCCCACCAAGGCGACGAUCCAUAGCCGACCUGAGAGGGUGACCGGCCACAUUGGGACUGAGACACGGCCCAAACUCCUACGGGAGGCAGCAGUGGGGAAUAUUGCACAAUGGGCGAAAGCCUGAUGCAGCGACGCCGCGUGAGCGAAGAAGUAUUUCGGUAUGUAAAGCUCUAUCAGCAGGGAAGAUAAUGACGGUACCUGACUAAGAAGCACCGGCUAAAUACGUG
This 481-nucleotide ribosomal RNA is filed under the name uncultured bacterium. RNAcentral's name for it is "partial 16S ribosomal RNA". It matches the Rfam family "Bacterial small subunit ribosomal RNA", at positions 28 to 507 of the family's 1533-position model. The record is from RNAcentral.